CCGGGGAUACCAAAGUGGUCAACUGGGGCGGUCUGUAAAACCGCUGGCUUUUGCCUACGCUGGUUCGAAUCCAGCUCCCCGGACCA
This 86-nucleotide transfer RNA is filed under the name candidate division WWE3 bacterium. Its description in RNAcentral is "tRNA-Tyr". It matches the Rfam family "tRNA". From Rfam's summary of the family: Transfer RNA (tRNA) molecules are approximately 80 nucleotides in length. Their secondary structure includes four short double-helical elements and three loops (D, anti-codon, and T loops). Further hydrogen bonds mediate the characteristic L-shaped molecular structure. tRNAs have two regions of fundamental functional importance: the anti-codon, which is responsible for specific mRNA codon recognition, and the 3' end, to which the tRNAs corresponding amino acid is attached (by aminoacyl-tRNA synthetases). tRNAs cope with the degeneracy of the genetic code in two manners: having more than one tRNA (with a specific anti-codon) for a particular amino acid; and 'wobble' base-pairing, i.e. permitting non-standard base-pairing at the 3rd anti-codon position. Lineage: Bacteria; candidate division WWE3. The record is from RNAcentral.